This 483-nucleotide ribosomal RNA is filed under the name uncultured bacterium. RNAcentral describes it as "partial 16S ribosomal RNA". It matches the Rfam family "Bacterial small subunit ribosomal RNA", at positions 899 to 1397 of the family's 1533-position model. The record is from RNAcentral.
ACUCAAAGGAAUUGACGGGGGCCCGCACAAGCAGCGGAGCGUGUGGUUUAAUUCGAGGCUACACGAAGAACCUUACCUGGGUUUGACAUAGGCGUGGUAGGGAACCGAAAGGGGACCGACCUUCGGGAGCGCUUACAGGUGCUGCAUGGCUGUCGUCAGCUCGUGCCGUGAGGUGUUCGGUUAAGUCCGCAAACGAGCGCAACCCUCGGCGUUAGUUACAGGUGUCUAACGCAACUGCCCGUGAGAAACGGGAGGAAGGUGGGGAUGACGUCAAGUCAGCAUGGCCUUUAUAUCCAGGGCUACACACACGCUACAAUGGACGGUACAAUGGGUUGCCAAGGAGCGAUCUGGAGCCAAUCCUGAAAGCCGUUCGUAGUUCGGAUUGCAGGCUGCAACUCGCCUGCAUGAAGUCGGAGUUGCUAGUAACCGCGCAUCAGCUAUGGCGCGGUGAAUACGUUCCCGGGCCUUGUACACACCGCCCGU